GCGUCUUGCGCAUCUUCUGGUAUUUAUGACCAAGUCUGUACGAGGGCCGGUUGGGCUUCCCACUGAGUUCAUCGGUGAGACAGGUGAGGGCUGCAGGCCUGCACGUUCAGGGAAUACGUCGUAUCUACUGUUCAUCAAAUAUCAAUUCACAACAGCACCGAGUUACUGCUAGAAUGCCUGCAGGAUGCCGGGAAUGCACCUGCACCCAAUGUCUCUGAUGUGUACUGCUUCCUACUGCAGAUGGGGAUAUCGAGUUGUCCUCCUUAAAUGUAGUUCGGAACGUGAUAUUACCUGGAUCUGACUAAUUAACCUGUUCUUGACACCAGAUGCCUCAGACUAACCCAGUAUUUAAUCAUAAGCAAAAGUUUUGGGGCUUGCUGUUGUCAUACUCGGAUGUUACCGGCCAUGGGCUGUUCACGGCAGGCAGCUCGGGCUCGAAACGAUCCGCAAGCAACCUGAAGUGAUACUAUGCCUUCGAUAUCUUUGCAAUUGCGUUGCACAAUG
Molecule: long non-coding RNA, 504 nt
Filed under: Coccomyxa subellipsoidea
Lineage: Eukaryota; Viridiplantae; Chlorophyta; Trebouxiophyceae; Coccomyxaceae
Description: long non-coding RNA (CSUB_LNC000355)
Source: RNAcentral